ACAUCGUCGAGGCGGCGUGCCGGAGGAAAUAACAAGAAAUCGGCAAGUAGAAUUAGCUAGAUACGUAUUUGAAUCAGUAACGACGUAGUGUCCUGCUAUUGUAAGAUAAGUAAUCAAUUCUAGAGUUUUGCUCAGCAUCACAAGGCUGGCUACAACCUAGGUUUGAGAUGCCACCUCGGACUCGAGCAUCUUAGAGGGCUGUGGGUGAAUCGAACGUGCCCUGAGAAAUUGAUGAACGACUACGGAUUACUACCUCACACGGAUGAGGUCAUUCUAGAACUAAGAGGAGGAGGAUGAAGAUGAUUUGAAUGAUGACGAAGGAGAUGAGUCAGUUUCAUCAUCUGCAUUUAUGAAGCUAAAACCUUCAUCCUUUACUGGUUCCACAGUAGGAGAGGACCCACGUAGAUUUUUGGACACUAUAGAAAAGAUCUAUCGUGCUUUGGGAGCUUCGAGCACAAGGUCAGUAACCUUGGCUAGUUU
This is a non-coding RNA of Theobroma umbraticum, 480 nucleotides long. The record is from RefSeq and is a predicted model, not a curated record. NCBI's taxonomy places the organism in Eukaryota, Viridiplantae, Streptophyta, Magnoliopsida, Malvales, Malvaceae.